This 255-nucleotide ribosomal RNA is filed under the name uncultured bacterium. RNAcentral describes it as "partial 16S ribosomal RNA". It matches the Rfam family "Bacterial small subunit ribosomal RNA", at positions 524 to 776 of the family's 1533-position model. The record is from RNAcentral.
UACAGAGGUCUCAAGCGUUUGUUCGGAUUCAUUGGGCGUAAAGGGUGUGUAGGUGGCGCCGUAAGUCGGGUGUGAAAUCUCGGGGCUUAACUCCGAAACUGCAUUCGAUACUGCGGUGCUUGAGGACUGGAGAGGAGACUGGAAUUCAUGGUGUAGCAGUGAAAUGCGUAGAGAUCAUGAGGAAGACCAGUGGCGAAAGGCGGGUCUCUGGACAGUUCCUGACACUGAGACACGAAGGCCAGGGGAGCAAACGGG